RNAcentral lists this unclassified non-coding RNA (340 nucleotides) under soil metagenome. RNAcentral describes it as "partial contains 5.8S ribosomal RNA, internal transcribed spacer 2, and large subunit ribosomal RNA". The stretch from base 1 to 120 matches the Rfam family "5.8S ribosomal RNA", at positions 35 to 154 of the family's 154-position model. The record is from RNAcentral.
GAUGAAGAACGUAGCGAAAUGCGAUAAGUAAUGCGAAUUGCAGAUCUCCGUGAGUCAUUGAAUCUUUGUACGCACAUUGCGCCCUCGGGUAUUCCCGAGGGCAUGCCUGUCCGAGCGUCAUUAUCCAACCAUCAAGCUCGGCUUGCGGUUGAGCCCCGCACCGUCCCCGGGACGGUGGGCUCGAAACAUGUUGGGCGCCCGUGAGGUUGUCGGUGCAGCGAGCUCUCGAGCACGUGCCGGGCAACCGCUCUGGGCGUCGGCCAGCCCCCCCAUUUUCUCAGGUUGACCUCGGAUCAGGUAGGAAUACCCGCUGAACUUAAGCAUAUCAAUAAGCGGAGGA